AAAUAACAUAACUUCUUUCCUCUGAAUGGUCGAAGCUGAGCAACUUGGAGGGUUCAGCCGACUCCUACACCAGCCGCCCAUCUCUGGACUCAGACGUCUCCCUGGAGGAGGACCGGGAGAGUGCCCGGCGUGAAGUAGAGAGCCAGGCUCAGCAGCAGCUCGAAAGGGCCAAGCACAAACCUGUGGCAUUUGCGGUGAGGACCAAUGUCAGCUACUGUGGCGUACUGGAUGAGGAGUGCCCAGUCCAGGGCUCUGGAGUCAACUUUGAGGCCAAAGAUUUUCUGCACAUUAAAGAGGUGAUCGACCCCCCUACUUCCAGAAGCCUCUAACACUUCAUUUUCUUGCUGUUGCUCCAGAUCCUAAUGCUUCUGACUUCAAUCCUCAGUCUAAUUCCCCAAGCUAAUCAGCUCUUCUCCUUAACACACACCUGUCCACCCCUCAUAUCUAAGAUCUCAUCCCCAGGGUCUCCAUCCUUCUGA
Molecule: small RNA, 479 nt
Filed under: Pan troglodytes (chimpanzee)
Lineage: Eukaryota; Metazoa; Chordata; Mammalia; Primates; Hominidae
Description: retained intron
Source: RNAcentral